GGAUGCGAUCAUACCAGCACUAAAGCACCGGAUCCCAUCAGAACUUCGAAGUUAAGCGUGCUUGGGCGAGAGUAGUACUGGGAUGGGUGACCUCCUAGGAAGUCCUCGUGUUGCAUUCC
Molecule: ribosomal RNA, 119 nt
Filed under: Triticum aestivum (bread wheat)
Lineage: Eukaryota; Viridiplantae; Streptophyta; Magnoliopsida; Poales; Poaceae
Source: RNAcentral